RNAcentral lists this ribosomal RNA (712 nucleotides) under Monoraphidium littorale. RNAcentral's name for it is "SSU rRNA". It matches the Rfam family "Eukaryotic small subunit ribosomal RNA", at positions 106 to 830 of the family's 1831-position model. The record is from RNAcentral. Lineage: Eukaryota; Viridiplantae; Chlorophyta; Chlorophyceae; Sphaeropleales; Selenastraceae.
UCCCUUAUCUUUUAUUUGAUGGUACCUCUACCCGGAUAACCGUAGUAAAUCUAGGGCUAAUACGUGCGCAAAUCCCGACUUCUGGAACGGACGUAUUUAUUAGAUAAAAGGCCGACCGGCCUCUGCCCGAACCACGAUGAGCCAUGAUCACUUCCCAACUCGAAUAACCUUGUGCUGGCGAUGUUUCAUUCCAAUUUCUGCCCUAUCUGCUUUCUGUGGCAGGAUAGAGGCCUAGCAGGGCGGAAACGGGUGACGGAGGAUUAGGGUUCGAUUCCGGAGAGGGAGCCUGAUAAACCGCUACCACUCCCUCGGAAAGCUCCGCGCGCGCAAAUUACCCAACCCUGAUACGGGGAGGUAGUGACAAUAAAUAACAUUACCGGGCAUUCAUGGUCUGGUAAUUGGAAUGAGUACAAUCUACAUCCCUUAACGAGGAUCCAUUGGAGGGCAAGUCUGGUGCUGCAGCCGCGGUAAUUCCUGCUCCUGAGCGUAUAUUUAAUGUGUUGCAGUUAAAAACCUCGUACUUGGAUUUCGGUGGGGUUCCUCCGGUCCGCCUAUGGUGAGUACUGCUUGUGGCCCUCCUUUCUGUCGAACACAGUCUCUUGGACUUCUCUGACCGGGAAUCAGAAUCCACCAUGAUACUUUGAGUAAAUCACAGUGUUCCAUCCAUGACUACUCACAGAAUACUUUAGUCUGGAAUACCUCGAUCCGACUC